GACGAACGCUGGCGGCGUGCUUAACACGUGCAAGUCGAACGGAAAGGCCUCAGCUUGCUGGGGUACUCGAGUGGCGAACGGGUGAGUAACACGUGGGUGAUCUGCCUUGCACUCUGGGAUAAGCUUGGGAAACUGGGUCUAAUACCGGAUAUGAACUGCCUUUAGUGUGGUGGUUGGAAAGUUUUUUCGGUGCAAGAUGAGCUCGCGGCCUAUCAGCUUGUUGGUGGGGUAAUGGCCUACCAAGGCGUCGACGGGUAGCCGGCCUGAGAGGGUGUACGGCCACAUUGGGACUGAGAUACGGCCCAGACUCCUACGGGAGGCAGCAGUGGGGAAUAUUGCACAAUGGGCGGAAGCCUGAUGCAGCGACGCCGCGUGGGGGAUGACGGCCUUCGGGUUGUAAACUCCUUUCGACAGGGACGAAGCUUUUUGUGACGGUACCUGUAGAAGAAGCACCGGCUAACUACGUG
Molecule: ribosomal RNA, 467 nt
Filed under: uncultured bacterium
Lineage: Bacteria
Description: partial 16S ribosomal RNA
Rfam family: Bacterial small subunit ribosomal RNA
Source: RNAcentral